UUUAGGAUUUCCGUUUACCUGAGCAUUUGAAAAGCACUUUCUCUCGUCUCUUUUCUAAGAUUGAGAUUUACCCUUAGAAAAUAAGAGAGCAGCCAAAUCUAGAAUGACAAUUCUUUCUAUUUGUUAAUAGAUUUAAAAAAAAAAAAAAAAACACCACACAUGGUAAUACAAGCCAGCGUGAGGUAAAUCAGGAGCCUCCUUUCCCCUUUUCAUAUUGAAUUGUGUAUUAAACCAAGGGGAGAGGAGUUAGUGCAAGACAACAUCACAAAACCUAAUAUAUCUGUGAAAAUGGAUAACAACAGGAUCUGAUGAAGUGGACUCUGGCCUAAGAAAGCUGAUGCCAUAAUCAGUUUUGUAGGAUAUUCAGGUUCUACAGAAAUUGUUUAUUUUUCCUGCAUGAUAGGAGAACCAACCCCACUGAAAAAUUAUUAAACAGAACUUUAUCUGUCA
This is a long non-coding RNA of Pantherophis guttatus, 450 nucleotides long. RefSeq lists it as uncharacterized. Lineage: Eukaryota; Metazoa; Chordata; Lepidosauria; Squamata; Colubridae. The record is from RefSeq and is a predicted model, not a curated record.